This 253-nucleotide ribosomal RNA is filed under the name uncultured bacterium. Its description in RNAcentral is "partial 16S ribosomal RNA". It matches the Rfam family "Bacterial small subunit ribosomal RNA", at positions 524 to 776 of the family's 1533-position model. The record is from RNAcentral.
UACGGAGGGUGCAAGCGUUAAUCGGAAUUACUGGGCGUAAAGCGUGCGCAGGCGGUUCGCUGUGUCCUGUGUGAAAGCCCCGGGCUUAACCUGGGAAUGGCAUGGGAAACUGGCGGGCUGGAGUGUGGCAGAGGGGGGUGGAAUUCCGCGUGUAGCAGUGAAAUGCGUAGAGAUGCGGAGGAACACCGAUGGCGAAGGCAGCCCCCUGGGCUAACACUGACGCUCAGGCACGAAAGCGUGGGGAGCAAACAGG